CAGCCUCGCACUUGCUGCAGAUACAGAUUGCAGCACCUCUGCCUCCCUUGUUGGCAGCGGUGGUGUCGGGAGGAGUACGAAAGCAGUGGCGGAGGUAUGCGUGGGCUGCAGCUCUCUCACCACGCAUGGCGGCCGCGUUUGUCCAGCGCAGCGGCGGCUCUGCGCACAUCCAGUAGCUGCACCACGAGCACGUCAGGAGCGGCAGUUGUCAUCACCGCCUCGCGCACAAACCGAGCAACGCCUGCAGUGUACAGCACGCAGCGCUUGUACUGCACGACACAAAAGAAGAAAGGCACCAGCGACGCGGCGGACAGCCACAGCAGCACUACCGCGGGCAUCAGUGUGGGUGCUGACGCGACGAGCGACGACGCUAUGGAUCUCAUUUGGUCAGACAUGCCUGAUGUGCACGGGCCGAAUCAUGAGGCAACGUUGGCGAGCAGCCCGCAGGAGCACAGAGCUGCCACAUCGACCCGCGCGCCAAAGAGCUCGCCGCAUGAAGAGAGUCGCGCAUCCGACGCGAGCGACACAGCCGCGUCCUCGCCGCCGGCGCCACCGGUGUCGCACGUGUGGGUAUCUAUGCACAACAUGCCCCGCAACUGGCUGCAUGAAGACAUUGUGGAGAUGAUUCACCAAGUCGCCGAGCACGCAGGCAUCGCCACACCCGAGGCCCCCCGCUUGUCAGAGUCCGCUGCGGGCCGAGAAGGCGAAGAGGGGCACACCGGUGAGGGCACGAGCAGCGCGCUGAAUCACAUGUCCUCGCCGUUUGUGCGCCGCCUGCACAUUCCUUUCGGCCGCCGCACUGGUCUUGUGUACGGCAGCCCGAAGCUGCUACUCACCUCGCGGCAGCUCGCCGACUACCUCAUCCACCAACUCAGCUUCGACCCAGACGACUUCCGCAGUCGCGUGUACUUUACCCACACAAAGCCGGAAGAGUUGCCAAGUGGCUUUCAGCAGCAGCAACAGCCACACGAGGGGGGAGUUGCUGGAGGUGAUGCAGCCAACGGUGACGGGGUGGCACAGGUUACGUACACCCCGAUUGAGGAGACGGUGGAGCGGGAGCAGGACGAGGCGCUGCGCACGUUGGUGCUCGACCGCUACCUGUUCGCCCCGGACCUGCUCCUCGACAUUGCCAAGUCUCAUCAGAGGCGGCUCGUCACUAAAAACGAGAAGGUGCUGCUUGACGCCUUCGUCGACGGCGAGGAAGACAGCGAUGAUGAGGAGGAAGACGAAGAUGGCGGCGACGUCGAGGAUGACGACGCAGUAAGCGGCGGCAGCGGUGCCGACGGCGAUGCUGAAAGCGCUGCUGCGUCGCUCACGCGCCGUCAGCGGCCGCGGCAUCGGCACCGUGCCACGUCAAAGGGUGGGUCCGAUAAGAGGAAGUCGCCCCUCACACGACCUGUUAGUGCGGGAACGCAGAAGCAUCUGGGCCGGGGAUCCAUGCACAAUAUGCCCAUCCCGAAGCCGUACGUGGCGGGCCGCAAUCUGUAGCUAAUGAGUCUCUCUCUCCCUCGCAUUAGGCGAGAGAGGGAGGUCAACGGGCGUGAUUGAGCUGUAUGAGUCGACUGUGUUCCGCUGCGUGCGUGUCGCUCUUUCUCUCUGUCUCUGUGCAUGGGCGAAGGUUCGCCCAUGCACAAAAGGAGCGAGGGCUGAUUAAGUGGCGAGGAGUUGUGGGCAACUGAACAUCUACGAAGGCGCGCACGGAAAUCGACGUUCGCCUUCCCUCCUGAAAAGUGGUGUACCGUCUUCACAAGU
This 1752-nucleotide unclassified non-coding RNA is filed under the name Leishmania donovani. RNAcentral describes it as "gene:LdHU3.14.0850(CDS-product:hypothetical_prote in_conserved)". The record is from RNAcentral. Lineage: Eukaryota; Euglenozoa; Kinetoplastea; Trypanosomatida; Trypanosomatidae.